Molecule: long non-coding RNA, 606 nt
Organism: Monodelphis domestica (gray short-tailed opossum)
Lineage: Eukaryota; Metazoa; Chordata; Mammalia; Didelphimorphia; Didelphidae
Source: RefSeq, a predicted model, not a curated record
UCCUCAGACUAUUUUUCUUUCUCAUUUCUUUGUCCCACAGUUUUUUUCCAUUUUGUCUAAAAACUCUUCAUCCUUAACAAUAAACUAGAAAAUAAAAAUCUUUUCUUCAUUUAUUUGACCUUCUUCUUUAGCUGAUUGACCACCCUGCAUGAACACACACACAACUGCUACUUGCUGGGGGCAGGAAGACAACCAUACCACUAUCCCAGAAGUCAUAUGAAUAGUGCUCUUAAUUUUUGCACUCCUGACACAGAAUGUCCAGGUUCCAGUUAAAUCAUCUGGUUGCCACCCAGUUCACUGUCCCUGGGCUCCAGCUGUUAAGUGAAGGCUUUCAUCACAUGAUAUUUUAGCCACCAAAGAGAAGAAAAAGAUCUGCGAGUGAUCAAGAUCUCCAGUAGCAGAAAGAAUGCAAGAUUCUGAUUCAGUAACUUAUUAUAGCCCCACAUUGAGGUAGUCCAGUUGAUAGAGUGCUGGACCUGGAGUCUAGAAGACCUGAAUUCAAAUUUCAUACAAUUUACUUAGUUGGGUGAUACCAGGCAAGUGAUUUAAUCUUUCUGACUUCCUCAGUGUACAUAUCCAUGAAAUGGGGAUGAUAAUAUUGUCUGC